GUGAGGAAUAUUGCGCAAUGGACGAAAGUCUGACGCAGCCAUGCCGCGUGAAGGAUUGACGGCCCUAUGGGUUGUAAACUUCUUUUGUAUAGGAAUAAACCCUCGUUCGUGAACGAGGCUGAAGGUACUAUAAGAAUAAGCACCGGCUAACUCCGUGCCAGCAGCCGCGGUAAUACGGAGGGUGCAAGCGUUAUCCGGAUUUAUUGGGUUUAAAGGGUCCGUAGGCGGAUCGUUAAGUCAGUGGUGGAAUCCUACCGCUCAACGGUAGAACUGCCAUUGAUACUGGCGAUCUUGAGUAUGUAUGAAGUUGGCGGAAUGUGUGGUGUAGCGGUGAAAUGCUUAGAUAUCACACAGAACACCGAUUGCGAAGGCAGCUGACUAAUACACAACUGACGCUGAGGGACGAAAGUGUGGGGAUCAAACAGGAUUAGAUACCCCUGUAGUCC
Molecule: ribosomal RNA, 446 nt
Filed under: uncultured bacterium
Lineage: Bacteria
Description: partial 16S ribosomal RNA
Rfam family: Bacterial small subunit ribosomal RNA
Source: RNAcentral